UACGGGGGGGGCAAGCGUUAAUCGGAAUUACUGGGCGUAAAGCGUGCGCAGGCGGUUUUGUAAGCCAGAUGUGAAAGCCCCGGGCUUAACCUGGGAAUGGCAUUUGGGACUGCAAGGCUAGAGUGUGGCAGAGGAGACUGGAAUUCCUGGUGUAGCAGUGAAAUGCGUAGAUAUCAGGAGGAAUACCGAUGGCGAAGGCAGGUCUCUGGGUUAACACUGACGCUCAUGCACGAAAGCGUGGGGAGCAAACAGG
RNAcentral lists this ribosomal RNA (253 nucleotides) under uncultured bacterium. RNAcentral's name for it is "partial 16S ribosomal RNA". It matches the Rfam family "Bacterial small subunit ribosomal RNA", at positions 524 to 776 of the family's 1533-position model. The record is from RNAcentral.